This is a long non-coding RNA of Brassica oleracea var. oleracea, 1043 nucleotides long. RefSeq lists it as uncharacterized. The transcript has 4 exons. The record is from RefSeq and is a predicted model, not a curated record. NCBI's taxonomy places the organism in Eukaryota, Viridiplantae, Streptophyta, Magnoliopsida, Brassicales, Brassicaceae.
CAACACUACGUGGUACAGAGUUCUUAAGCCCCAAGUUCUGGAGAAAAACCGAGGAGAGACCAAUGCAGACACGGACCAGAAACACAGCAAGUGAAAUGGCUGCGCAGGAGAACAGUUUUGACCAGGGAAAGACAGAUGUGAACAACUUCGGCCAAAGGGGAGGUGGUUCUGUUUACCAGAAGAGAUCAGCAAGAAACCAGUUUCAAGACUCUAUGCAUACAUCCACCAGAUUAUCUACUUGAGGAGUGCACUUGAGUGAUUCUAUUUUUAUUUUAUUUUUGUUGGGGAGGAGGGUGAUGUGAGGAUUGAAGCACAAUAGAAGCUGACCAGACUGGUUGAGAUUAAUUGUGCAAAAGCCAAAUCUCAGAUUCGAUGCUUUGCUUCAACGGCCUGUUUGAAUUUUCAAGUCUCACUCACAUGUCUUAGUAACCUUUCUCUUUUAGAAAAGCAUUCUAAUAAUUUAAUCAGUGGGAGUUUUAAAGAUCAAAUGGAUGUGAAUAGAAAUUAUAUUUAUGUGAUGUGUCAUUGGAGUUAUGUCAAAACCAUGGACAGGGAUAGAUGUAAAGAUUUGUGUGACUAUUUGGUGUUAAUAAUCCCUAUCUUUAUGAUUUUUGGAGACAGCUUUGAUGUAAAAUUUACGUGUCACAAUUAACCAUGAUCCCUAUCUUUAUGCUUUGUGUCUUUCCUUAAACUAAUUAACCAUGGUUCUUCAUGCUUUCUAUGGUCACAUUCCUUUUUAUUAGUAGUUGAGCACUAACUACUGGUUUCUGUCUUUUUGUUGAAACAGCUUCUCAGACUUAAGAUCAAGCAAAAUUAGUCUGAAGCUCGGAGAGGGUAAAAAGUAUGUGGAUAUGCCUCCUACAGAAGCAUGGAUUUGAGCAAGUUUACGUUUUUUUUGUGUGUUUGGACCUACCAGACACAGAUGGGUGUAUAAUUUUAUAUUCUUGAUAUGUAUUCAUAUGUACAUAUUUUGAAUGAAAAAAAUGUGAUAAGUAAAAACAGAAACUGCAACUGAAUAUUAUUAUCUUUUUAUAGAUUUGUUG